RNAcentral lists this ribosomal RNA (805 nucleotides) under Troglohyphantes excavatus. RNAcentral's name for it is "partial large subunit ribosomal RNA". The stretch from base 490 to 805 matches the Rfam family "Eukaryotic large subunit ribosomal RNA", at positions 665 to 945 of the family's 3401-position model. The record is from RNAcentral. Lineage: Eukaryota; Metazoa; Arthropoda; Arachnida; Araneae; Linyphiidae.
GUGGGCCCUCGAAAUCCUGUGGCGGGAGUAUUCAGUCGGAGCGCUCGCGUCGCCCACCGGAAUAUGCACAACUGAAGGUUCCCGAGACGGGGCCGUUCCGGUGCCGUGCGCUUCGUGGCGAUCCGACGCAUUUAUUUCCCGCCCGAAGGACGCCGCAACCGGUUGGCGGGACGGCCUUAAGGGCGAGAGCCGGCAGGUGGCCGGCGGCGGAGCGCCUCGUGUGCAUCGUCGCCGGUUGUUAGCCAUCUCGUCACACGGCACGUCUCCCGACCGUGGCAACAGAGAGGCCUCGUUGGGCUUCGACGUCUCCUCCCCUAGUGGUCAGCGGGUGAAGAAGCGCGGCAGGAGCUCGAUGCUGGUGCGGGCGCACGGACUGACUCCGUGGCCCAGCGCCGCCUUGUCUUCGUUGGCUGCGCAAGCCCCGCAGGGAGUGCAUGACGGUUCGCGGCGAGUAGAUCGGUCACCCACCUGACCCGUCUUGAAACACGGACCAAGGAGUCUAACAUGUGUGCGAGUCAAUGGGUCUCGAAUAAGCCCAGAGGCGCAAUGAAAGCGAAGGCCGGAGGACUCCGGUCGUGUCGGGAUCCCCGCUCCCUUAACAAGGGCUGGGGCGCACCGACGACCCGCCCCGUUCCACUCGUGGAUGAGGCGGAGUCCGAGCGCACACGUUGGGACCCGAAAGAUGGUGAACUAUGCCCGGGCAGAACGAAGCCAGAGGAAACUCUGGUGGAGGUUCGUCGCGAUUCUGACGUGCAAAUCGAUCGUCAGAUCCAGGUCUAGGGGCGAAAGACCAAUCGAACCAUCU